Molecule: transfer RNA, 75 nt
Filed under: Nanobdellota archaeon
Lineage: Archaea; Nanobdellati; Nanobdellota
Also listed under: 1 other name
Description: tRNA-Ile
Rfam family: tRNA
About the family: Transfer RNA (tRNA) molecules are approximately 80 nucleotides in length. Their secondary structure includes four short double-helical elements and three loops (D, anti-codon, and T loops).
Source: RNAcentral
GAGCCUAUAGCUCAGCCAGGUUAGAGCACCGCUCUUAUAAGGCGGGGGUCCACAGUUCAAAUCUGUGUAGGCUCA